This 489-nucleotide ribosomal RNA is filed under the name uncultured bacterium. RNAcentral's name for it is "partial 16S ribosomal RNA". It matches the Rfam family "Bacterial small subunit ribosomal RNA", at positions 28 to 507 of the family's 1533-position model. The record is from RNAcentral.
GAUGAACGCUAGCUACAGGCUUAACACAUGCAAGUCGAGGGGCAGCAUGAUUGAAGCUUGCUUCAAUCGAUGGCGACCGGCGCACGGGUGAGUAACACGUAUCCAACCUGCCGAUAACUCGGGGAUAGCCUUUCGAAAGAAAGAUUAAUACCCGAUAGUAUAGUAUUUCCGCAUGGUUUCACUAUUAAAGAACUUCGGUUAUCGAUGGGGAUGCGUUCCAUUAGAUAGUUGGCGGGGUAACGGCCCACCAAGUCAACGAUGGAUAGGGGUUCUGAGAGGAAGGUCCCCCACAUUGGAACUGAGACACGGUCCAAACUCCUACGGGAGGCAGCAGUGAGGAAUAUUGGUCAAUGGACGAGAGUCUGAACCAGCCAAGUAGCGUGAAGGAUGACUGCCCUAUGGGUUGUAAACUUCUUUUAGACGGGAAUAAAGUGGAGUAGGCAUACUCCUUUGUAUGUACCGUAUGAAUAAGGAUCGGCUAACUCCGUG